UCAGCCUCGUUUUUGUUGCAAAACCUGGGUGGGGCGAGGCUGCCAUGGAGGUUGGACGAGGAAGUCACAUCUAGGGCAUUUCUGGUGGAGAAGUGGGAGAGGGAGGUGGUUCUGGAGGUGGAGCAGGGGGGGGAUCUCGAGGGGCCAUGCUGGGACGGAGGUGGAGGAGCACCAACGGGGUGGAGCGGGGCUGGAGGUGGAGGAGCAGCAAGGGGCAGAGAGAAUGAGACAAGAGAAGGAGAAGAAGAAGAGAAGAUCAUCACCCUCCGAUUUCUAUUGCUCAGGCUUCAAGGGGUGUGAGUGGAGGAGGGUGUGCACUGAUGCUUCCCUUUCCUUGGGUGUGAGGAAGCGUGUACAUUCACAAGGAAAAGAUGUGUGAAAUGGGCGUAAAUGACUGGUUGAUAUGUGCUCACGCAAUGGUGGUGAUGGGUCUGAGCGCCAAGACGCCCGACUAGAGG
This is a long non-coding RNA of Lolium perenne, 458 nucleotides long. RefSeq lists it as uncharacterized. The record is from RefSeq and is a predicted model, not a curated record. Lineage: Eukaryota; Viridiplantae; Streptophyta; Magnoliopsida; Poales; Poaceae.